GACGUAGGGUGCAAGCGUUGUCCGGAAUUAUUGGGCGUAAAGAGUUCGUAGGCGGUUACCUAAGUCUAGUGUUAAAGCCCGAUGCUCAACAUCGGCAUGGCAUUGGAAACUGGGUGGCUAGAGUGUGUCAGAGGUUACGGGAAUUCCUGGUGUAGCGGUGAAAUGCGUAGAUAUCAGGAGGAACACCGGUGGCGAAAGCGCGUAACUGGGGCAUAACUGACGCUGAGGAACGAAAGCCAGGGUAUCCAAAGGG
Molecule: ribosomal RNA, 253 nt
Filed under: uncultured bacterium
Lineage: Bacteria
Description: partial 16S ribosomal RNA
Rfam family: Bacterial small subunit ribosomal RNA
Source: RNAcentral